GACGAACGCUGGCGGCGUGCUUAACACAUGCAAGUCGAACGGAAAGGCCCUGCUUUUGUGGGGUGCUCGAGUGGCGAACGGGUGAGUAACACGUGAGUAACCUGCCCUUGACUUUGGGAUAACUUCAGGAAACUGGGGCUAAUACCGGAUAGGAGCUCCUGCUGCAUGGUGGGGGUUGGAAAGUUUCGGCGGUUGGGGAUGGACUCGCGGCUUAUCAGCUUGUUGGUGGGGUAGUGGCUUACCAAGGCUUUGACGGGUAGCCGGCCUGAGAGGGUGACCGGCCACAUUGGGACUGAGAUACGGCCCAGACUCCUACGGGAGGCAGCAGUGGGGAAUAUUGCACAAUGGGCGGAAGCCUGAUGCAGCAACGCCGCGUGCGGGAUGACGGCCUUCGGGUUGUAAACCGCUUUCGCCUGUGACGAAGCGUGAGUGACGGUAAUGGGUAAAGAGGCACCGGCUAACUACGU
RNAcentral lists this ribosomal RNA (467 nucleotides) under uncultured bacterium. Its description in RNAcentral is "partial 16S ribosomal RNA". It matches the Rfam family "Bacterial small subunit ribosomal RNA", at positions 28 to 506 of the family's 1533-position model. The record is from RNAcentral.